AUAUUUGCCUCGCAGGGGAGACACCAUGAUCACGAUGGUGGUUUUCCCACAGCGAGGCUCAUCCAUUGCACUCCGGAUGUGCUGAUCUCUGUGAUUUCCUCAAAUGCAGAAAACUUGACUGCAUAAUUUGUGGUGGUGGUGGGACUGGGUUUGCAUUUUACCC
Molecule: small nuclear RNA, 163 nt
Organism: Cavia aperea (Brazilian guinea pig)
Lineage: Eukaryota; Metazoa; Chordata; Mammalia; Rodentia; Caviidae
Gene: U1
Rfam family: U1 spliceosomal RNA
About the family: U1 is a small nuclear RNA (snRNA) component of the spliceosome (involved in pre-mRNA splicing). Its 5' end forms complementary base pairs with the 5' splice junction, thus defining the 5' donor site of an intron. There are significant differences in sequence and secondary structure between metazoan and yeast U1 snRNAs, the latter being much longer (568 nucleotides as compared to 164 nucleotides in human).
Source: Ensembl